Molecule: unclassified non-coding RNA, 260 nt
Filed under: Hevea brasiliensis (rubber tree)
Lineage: Eukaryota; Viridiplantae; Streptophyta; Magnoliopsida; Malpighiales; Euphorbiaceae
Source: RNAcentral
CCAGAAAGCUUUAGAAGAAAAAGGCCCAGCUGUGCACACCAUUCAGUUAGAGGAGCUUUCGGGUGGCAUGUGAAGCCUGGGACAAAAAGCUAUAAAAAGGGAAAAAGAGAGGAUUGAGGUAUCGAGAUAUUAGUUAUCAGUUUUGAUUGUUUGGCCAGCUGUUCUCAGCUUGGUGGGAAGAGCAUUGUAUUGUGUUUCCGCUGGGGAGAUUUCUUCUCCUUUUCAUUGUGUAAUUCUGCUUCUGUACUGAGAUAUAUUGG